Neltuma alba is the source of this 177-nucleotide long non-coding RNA. RefSeq lists it as uncharacterized. The transcript is spliced from 3 exons. Lineage: Eukaryota; Viridiplantae; Streptophyta; Magnoliopsida; Fabales; Fabaceae. The record is from RefSeq and is a predicted model, not a curated record.
UGAACUCUUAGUGCUUAUGGCAAGGCUUGACUUGACGGUGGAUUUUUCGGAAUUCUCUUGCUUCUAUGAUUUUGUUUUCUUCAUGUGUCGAGAAAAUGGUCAAAAGAAUAUUACUGUAGGCAGUGCAAUAACUGCUUGGAAAUUGGUUCUAGCUGGGCGGUUUCCACUACUUAGCCA